UACGGGGGGGCAAGCGUUGUUCGGAAUUACUGGGCGUAAAGGGCGCGUAGGCGGCCUGCUAAGUCGGACGUGAAAUCCCUCGGCUCAACCGGGGAACUGCGUCCGAUACUGGCGAGGCUUGAAUCCGGGAGAGGGAUGUGGAAUUCCAGGUGUAGCGGUGAAAUGCGUAGAGAUCCGGAGGAACACCAGCGGCGAAGGCGGCAUCCUGGACUGGUCCUGACACUCAUGAGCGAAAGCGUGGGGAGCGAUCCGG
RNAcentral lists this ribosomal RNA (253 nucleotides) under uncultured bacterium. Its description in RNAcentral is "partial 16S ribosomal RNA". It matches the Rfam family "Bacterial small subunit ribosomal RNA", at positions 524 to 776 of the family's 1533-position model. The record is from RNAcentral.